This 432-nucleotide ribosomal RNA is filed under the name uncultured bacterium. RNAcentral's name for it is "partial 16S ribosomal RNA". It matches the Rfam family "Bacterial small subunit ribosomal RNA", at positions 28 to 507 of the family's 1533-position model. The record is from RNAcentral.
GAUGAACGCUGGCGGUAUGCUUAACACAUGCAAGUCGAACGGUACCUUCGGGUAUAGUGGCGGACGGGUGAGUAACGCGUGAGAAUCUAUCUUCAGGUCGGGGACAACAGUUAGAAAUGACUGCUAAUACCGGAUGUGCCGAAAGGUAAAAGAUUUAUUGCCUGAAAAAGAGCUCGCGUCAGAUUAGCUAGUAGGUGGUGUAAGAGACUACCUAGGCUUCGAUCUGUAGCUGGUCUGAGAGGACGAUCAGCCACACUGGAACUGAGACACGGUCCAGACUCCUACGGGAGGCAGCAGUGGGGAAUUUUCCGCAAUGGGCGAAAGCCUGACGGAGCAAUACCGCGUGAGGGGCGAAGGCUCUUGGGUCGUAAACCUCUUUUCUCAAGGAAGAUUCAGACGGUACUUGAGGAAUAAGCAUCGGCUAACUCUGUG